This 254-nucleotide ribosomal RNA is filed under the name uncultured prokaryote. RNAcentral's name for it is "partial 16S ribosomal RNA". It matches the Rfam family "Bacterial small subunit ribosomal RNA", at positions 525 to 777 of the family's 1533-position model. The record is from RNAcentral.
ACGGAGGGUGCGAGCGUUGUCCGGAAUCAUUGGGCGUAAAGGGCGCGUAGGUGGCCCGGUCAGUCUUUGGUGAAAGCGCGGGGCUCAACCCUGCGUCGGCCAGGGAUACUGCCGCGGCUGGAGCACUGUAGAGGCAGGCGGAAUUCCGGGUGUAGCGGUGGAAUGCGUAGAGAUCCGGAGGAACACCGGUGGCGAAGGCGGCUUCCUGGACCGACACUGACGCUGAGGCGCGAAAGCGUGGGGAGCAAACAGGA